CAGCAGCCGCGGUAAUACGGAGGAUCCAAGCGUUAUCCGGAAUCAUUGGGUUUAAAGGGUCCGUAGGCGGUUUGGUAAGUCAGUGGUGAAAGCCCAUCGCUCAACGGUGGGACGGCCAUUGAUACUGCCAGACUUGAAUUUUUGUGAAGUAACUAGAAUAUGUAGUGUAGCGGUGAAAUGCUUAGAUAUUACAUGGAAUACCAAUCGCGAAGGCAGGUUACUAACGAACGAUUGACGCUGAUGGACGAAAGCGUGGGGAGCGAACAGGAUUAGAUACCCUGGUAGUCCACGCCGUAAACGAUGGAUACUAGCUGUUCGGAGCAAUCUGAGUGGCUAAGCGAAAGUGAUAAGUAUCCCACCUGGGGAGUACGUUCGCAAGAAUGAAACUCAAAGGAAUUGACGG
Molecule: ribosomal RNA, 403 nt
Filed under: uncultured bacterium
Lineage: Bacteria
Description: bacterial SSU rRNA
Rfam family: Bacterial small subunit ribosomal RNA
Source: RNAcentral